GUCGAGCGGCAGCGGGGAGUAGCUUGCUACUUUGCCGGCGAGCGGCGGACGGGUGAGUAACGCGUGGGAAUCUACCCAUUUGUGGGGGAUAACUUGGGGAAACCCAAGCUAAUACCGCAUAAUCCCUACGGGGGAAAGCAGGGGAUCUUCGGACCUUGCGCAGAUGGAUGAGCCCGCGUCGGAUUAGCUAGUUGGUAGGGUAAAGGCCUACCAAGGCGACGAUCCGUAACUGGUCUGAGAGGAUGACCAGUCACAUCGGGACUGAGACACGGCCCGAACUCCUACGGGAGGCAGCAGUGGGGAAUCUUGGACAAUGGGGGCAACCCUGAUCCAGCCAUGCCGCGUGUGUGAAGAAGGCCCUAGGGUUGUAAAGCACUUUCAGUAGGGAGGAAGGCUUCGGGUUAAUACCCUGGAGUACUUGACGUUACCUACAGAAGAAGCACCGGCUAAUUUCGUGCCAGCAGCCGCGGUAAUACGAAAGGUGCGAGCGUUAAUCGGAAUUACUGGGCGUAAAGCGCGCGUAGGCGGUUAGUUAAGUCGGAUGUGAAAGCCCAGGGCUCAACCUUGGAACUGCAUCCGAUACUGGCUAGCUAGAGUGCAGUAGA
RNAcentral lists this ribosomal RNA (605 nucleotides) under uncultured bacterium. Its description in RNAcentral is "bacterial SSU rRNA". It matches the Rfam family "Bacterial small subunit ribosomal RNA", at positions 61 to 655 of the family's 1533-position model. The record is from RNAcentral.